UCUCAUCAAUCUCUUUCCUCCCCUCAUAAGAUCCAAGUCAUGGCAGGCAAGAACCAGAGGAACGGGCAGUACCCCGCUAACCCGAUAACAAAGGUUAAUAGGGGAUAUGCUGGUAGAUAUGCAAGAGAGAAGGUAACAUGGUGGUUAUAAAUAUAGAUCUGGAAAAAGCAUAUGACCCAGUAGAGCAUGGAUUCAUGCUUGCAGUCCUGAGAAAAAUGGGAUUCCCAAAGAGGAUGAUCUGGGCAAGACAGUUACUGUAUGAGAUGGACAAGAGCCAGAUAUUGAUAAAUGGCUACUUGAGCCAGGACUUUGAGAUAUAAUCUGCCUGUUAUCCACAGAGCUUUUCAUGUGUGUCAUAGUACCAUUGGCCCAAAAAAUAAGAAGAGACAAGCUACUUACAGGGGUGAAAAUCCCUGAUGGAGAAGAAAUUAAGUGUAUGCUAUAUAUGGACAACAUCACAGUAAUAGGACAAGACAAACUGUCAAUUGAUAGAGUAAUGAAACAUGCAACAGACUAUGGCAAAGUGGCAGGGGCAAAAAUUAAUAAAAAGAAGAGCAUGCUAAUGGGAAUAGUGAACUAGGAAGGUCUGGAAGACUUUGGUUUGCAGCUACAAACAGAAGGAAUGAAGAUCCCGGGCAUACAGAUCCACAUGAAAGGGAAAGGUGAUGAAGCAUGGAAAAAGAUAAUCGGGGUACAGCAGAUAACAGACUUCUGGAAAAAGAAUGCUGUCUAAACAAGGCAAAGUGGAACUGAUAAAGACAGUAUUAUUACCAGUGAUUCUCCAUGUAAGAAUUGUUUCCUCCAUCAUGGCAACAAACACAAAGGACACAAAGAGAAUUGUGCACCUUUUUCUGGGGCAGCAAAAGGGAAUUUGAAUGGCAAGGCAAGAGAUACGCAAGGGAAAACAGGUAGGAGGAUAGGGAAUGCAAAACAUAGAGUUGUUUGUUUAUACAAAAUUCAUCAGCAAAAUGUGGAUGGUGGAGGUAAAGGGAACAGGGAAAA
This is a long non-coding RNA of Gavialis gangeticus (Gharial), 1002 nucleotides long. RefSeq lists it as uncharacterized. The transcript has 2 exons. The record is from RefSeq and is a predicted model, not a curated record. Lineage: Eukaryota; Metazoa; Chordata; Crocodylia; Gavialidae.